GUACUGCUGAGGAGUCCCACAUUAAGACGAAACGGUCGUCCAGUGC
This is a non-coding RNA of Schistosoma rodhaini, 46 nucleotides long. The record is from Rfam. NCBI's taxonomy places the organism in Eukaryota, Metazoa, Platyhelminthes, Trematoda, Strigeidida, Schistosomatidae.